This 1553-nucleotide long non-coding RNA is filed under the name Gossypium barbadense (sea-island cotton). Its description in RNAcentral is "long non-coding RNA (GBAR_LNC011233)". The record is from RNAcentral. Lineage: Eukaryota; Viridiplantae; Streptophyta; Magnoliopsida; Malvales; Malvaceae.
AAAUAAAUAAAACUUUAAAUAAACGGCCCAAAAGAUUUCAGAUAGCCAAAAACUAAACAAAAUAUCUAGAUAUUAGUAUAGAAUAAUCUAGAACGACAUUUAAUGCGCCGAACCAGUGCCCAAUCAGAAUUUGCUGAAUUCUGUCAUCUCAUCUUUCCAUCAUUUCACUACCUAGUUGACGAUUUCAAUCUUUAGAAAACUUUUCCUUUCAAAACAUUUCAUUUUCCUUUUUGUUUUGAACCUUUCUCUCUUCAUUUCGUCAUCACUGAAAGCUUUCCUAGUCUGGUUCACACAUCCAAUCGAACCUUUUUUUUGUUUUUUAGCGUACUCAAGGACCUCCAUUUCCAAGUAUAUCUCCUUUUGUCUUUUUAAGUUUCUGUUGCAAGAAUAUGUGCAAGAGUUUUUGCAGAUCUCGAUGUAUGUUUGAAUCUGAUAUUAUUAUAACCAUUUAUCUUCUGUUGGAUAUCAUAGAUAUAUGCCCCUACCAGUAAUCGAUCUUGACCCUUUGUGUUGCAUUUUUUUAUUAUUGCAAGGGAAUCUCCUUCGAAGAUGAUUGACUGCCAUCCAUUUUCGGCUCCUAUUUGAACUGCUUUCCAAUAGGCUAUUGCUUCAGCAGCAAAUAUAGAAGUUAUACCAUUAUGGAUCUCUGAGCAGGAUAAAAUAAUUUUUCCUUCCGCAUCUCUAACCACAAUAUCUGAAACUGAACGAUUUUGACUCCCGUUGUAUGCACUGUCGAAGUUAAUCUUGAUGAACUCACAAUGUGGGUGUCUCAAUCUUCUAUUUUCUGUUAUUCUUACUGAUUUUUUCGAAACCAGUAAGUUCAGUAAUGUACUCACUGAUGAAGUUUGCAAUUUCCUUUCCAUUAGUAACUCUCUUUUCAUGUAUUCUUUUGCUUCGAUCUCCCCAUAGGGCCCAAAGUGCACAAUAGGAAAUGCGACAUUGACAAGGGGUAAACUGCUCAAACACCCAAGUAAGCCACUCUACAAAGCCCAUGUUUUGAAUCAUUAAAAUAUUAUGAAGUGAUAAUGUUGUCCAUACUUCCACUGUAACAAGAUUUUCUCAGAAUAUAUGGUCCAUCGUUUCAGCUCUUUCUCCAUAUCGGGGGCAGCUUGUGUUGGUUGCCAACUUCCUGUACUGCAUAUUUACCUUUGUAGGCAAAUAAUUCCAUGAGAGUCUCCAGAUUGUAAUCUUUAUUUUUUUUGGUAGAUUUAGGCUCCAAAGUUUUUUUUGUAAAAUUUCCUGUAGAUAGUUUGUACAAUGUAAGCUCUAGGAUUUUCAUCAGAACUCUGUUAUAGUUUAUAGGCACUUUAGACUAAGAAUUCACCCGACGUUUCUCCCCCAGAUGAGGAAGUCCUCGUAAGGUGUUCAUGCCAAGGGGAUCCGAAGGACUCUUCCAGUGUCUUCUUCUGUGAAUGUACUAUUUUCCAGCUCCCUCUUCUAAAGUCUAUUAUUGCUAUCAAUAAACUCAUUUACUUUAAAAUCACGCAUAGAAUUGAUCGCUAUAGAUAAUCUAAAAUUAAUUGCAUCUGGAAUCCAAAAAUCAUUAUCAAUGG